GACGAACGCUGGCGGUGUGCUUAACACAUGCAAGUCGAACGGUAAGGCCCUUUCGGGGGUACACGAGUGGCGAACGGGUGAGUAACACGUGAGUAACCUGCCCUCAUCUCUGGGAUAACAGUCGGAAACGGUUGCUAAUACUGGAUAUGAGCUUGCAAGGCAUCUUGUGGGUUGGAAAGAUUUUUUUGGUUGGGGAUGGACUCGCGGCCUACCAGCUUGUUGGUGAGGUAGUGGCUCACCAAGGCUUCGACGGGUAGCCGGCCUGAGAGGGCGACCGGCCACAUUGGGACUGAGAUACGGCCCAAACUCCUACGGGAGGCAGCAGUGGGGAAUAUUGCACAAUGGACGGAAGUCUGAUGCAGCAACGCCGCGUGCGGGAUGACGGCCUUCGGGUUGUAAACCGCUUUCAAUUGUGACGAAGCUUUUUGUGACGGUAGCAGUAGAAGAAGCACCGGCUAACUACGUG
This 466-nucleotide ribosomal RNA is filed under the name uncultured bacterium. RNAcentral describes it as "partial 16S ribosomal RNA". It matches the Rfam family "Bacterial small subunit ribosomal RNA", at positions 28 to 507 of the family's 1533-position model. The record is from RNAcentral.